RNAcentral lists this transfer RNA (75 nucleotides) under Candidatus Kaiserbacteria bacterium RIFCSPLOWO2_01_FULL_52_36. Its description in RNAcentral is "tRNA-Arg". It matches the Rfam family "tRNA". Rfam says of the family: Transfer RNA (tRNA) molecules are approximately 80 nucleotides in length. Lineage: Bacteria; Candidatus Kaiseribacteriota. The record is from RNAcentral.
GCCCCUGUAGUUCAAUGGAUAGAACUGCGGACUUCUAAGCCGUCAAUGUUGGUUCGAUUCCAACCGGGGGCACCG